Molecule: long non-coding RNA, 564 nt
Filed under: Olea europaea (common olive)
Lineage: Eukaryota; Viridiplantae; Streptophyta; Magnoliopsida; Lamiales; Oleaceae
Description: long non-coding RNA (OEUR_LNC013145)
Source: RNAcentral
UAAUAAAAAAGUAGAAUAAAGUAGAGAGAAUUCGAAAAUUUUAAACACGCUAAGCUCUUCAAUCUGAACAAGUAAAUGUUCUGGGGGUUCGUUUUACCGCGACACAUUACCCCAAAAUCUAGGGUUUGUCAAUGCCAAGUCAAUUUUACACCGUAAUCUGAAAUCCACAGCCGAUUUCUUCAAUAUUACCUGAACAAUGCGGUUGGAUUCUUGAUAUCCUUCUUCAAGAUUCACCGUAUUAAACGAUCUAUAAAUAUAUUUCUCCAAGUAUUGUUAUCAAUCACUUUUUCUGCUUAAAAAUUCAGUCUUUCGACUAUACUCGACAAAGAAAGAAGAAAAGACUCUCCGAUUAUCCAUGGCGAAGACUAGACCCGGCAAAAGAGACUUGGAUUCUUACACCAUUAGAGGCACAAACAAAGUCGUCAGAGGUAUGUGCGUGUUUGCUACUUACCCACGCCGACAUAUACAUAUAUACACAUAAAUAUACACUGGUGAAGUUGUGGAACAAAUAUUGAUUCUUUUUUAAUAAUAAGGAGCUUACAAGACAAUUUUGGGUACUGCAUG